ACGCUGGCGGCGUGCCUAAUACAUGCAAGUAGAACGCUGAAGGAGGAGCUUGCUUCUCUGGAUGAGUUGCGAACGGGUGAGUAACGCGUAGGUAACCUGCCUGGUAGCGGGGGAUAACUAUUGGAAACGAUAGCUAAUACCGCAUAAUAGUAGAUGUUGCAUGACAUUUGCUUACAAGGUGCAAUUGCAUCACUACCAGAUGGACCUGCGUUGUAUUAGCUAGUUGGUGGGGUAACGGCUCACCAAGGCGACGAUACAUAGCCGACCUGAGAGGGUGAUCGGCCACACUGGGACUGAGACACGGCCCAGACUCCUUCGGGAGGCAGCAGUAGGGAAUCUUCGGCAAUGGACGGAAGUCUGACCGAGCAACGCCGCGUGGGUGAAGAAGGUUUUCGGAUCGUAAAGCUCUGUUGUAAGAGAAGAACGAGUGUGAGGGUGGAAAGUUCACACUGUGACGGUAUCUUACCAGAAAGGGACGGCUAACUACGUGCCAGCAGCCGCGGUAAUACGUAUGUCCCGAGCGUUGUCCGGAUUUAUUGGGCGUAAAGCGAGCGCAGGCGGUUAGAUAAGUCUGAAGUUAAAGGCUGUGGCUUAACCAUAGUACGCUUUGGAAACUGUUUAACUUGAGUGCAAGAGGGGAGAGUGGAAUUCCAUGUGUAGCGGUGAAAUGCGUAGAUAUAUGGAGGAACACCGGUGGCGAAAGCGGCUCUCUGGCUUGUAACUGACGCUGAGGCUCGAAAGCGUGGGGAGCAAACAGGAUUAGAUACCCUGGUAGUCCACGCCGUAAACGAUGAGUGCUAGGUGUUAGACCCUUUCCGGGGUUUAGUGCCGCAGCUAACGCAUUAAGCACUCCGCCUGGGGAGUACGACCGCAAGGUUGAAACUCAAAGGAAUUGACGGGGGCCCGCACAAGCGGU
This 916-nucleotide ribosomal RNA is filed under the name uncultured bacterium. RNAcentral describes it as "bacterial SSU rRNA". It matches the Rfam family "Bacterial small subunit ribosomal RNA", at positions 33 to 933 of the family's 1533-position model. The record is from RNAcentral.